GGGUACAGCGGCAGCAAUCCGCCAGGCCUCAGGCGUGCAGGGAAAGUUGGUCGGUCGGCAGGGCCGGAUUCGCAUGCGCUCCAACCGAAGAUAAUUAUUACCUUUUGUUCUUCACAAUGUUCUUGGUCAUCUCUUGUAAAUUUCAUCCUUAGUCGAUAAAUUGUUUCUCCGGUGCUACAUCAUAUAGCCUUUUUUCCCUGUAUUUUUGUGAUUUUUGGUGUGUGGAGAUUAUUUGAGCCAUUCUUGUAAUAAUAUUAGACUGGAUGGGUGGUUAGUUGAUGAUUAUAUUGCAAUGGC
Molecule: small RNA, 297 nt
Filed under: Hordeum vulgare subsp. vulgare (domesticated barley)
Lineage: Eukaryota; Viridiplantae; Streptophyta; Magnoliopsida; Poales; Poaceae
Source: RNAcentral